Molecule: ribosomal RNA, 460 nt
Filed under: uncultured bacterium
Lineage: Bacteria
Description: partial 16S ribosomal RNA
Rfam family: Bacterial small subunit ribosomal RNA
Source: RNAcentral
CCUACGGGUAGCAGCAGUGAGGACUAUUGGUCAAUGGGCGUAAGCCUGAACCAGCCAAGUCGCGUGAGGGAUGAAGGUUCUAUGGAUCGUAAACCUCUUUUAUAAGGGAAUAAAGUGUGGGACGUGUCCUGUUUUGUAUGUCACUUAUGAAUAAGGAUCGGCUAACUCCGUGCCAGUAGCCGCGGUAAUACGGAGGAUCCGAGCGUUAUCCGGAUUUAUUGGGUUUAUAGGGUGCGUAGGCGGCCUUUUAAGUCAGCGGUGAAAGUCUGUGGCUCAACCAUAGAAUUGCCGUUGAAACUGGGAGGCUUGAGUAUGUUUGAGGCAGGCGGAAUGCGUGGUGUAGCGGUGAAAUGCUUAGAUAGCACGCAGAACCCCGAUUGCGAAGGCAGCCUGCCAAGCCAUGACUGACGCUGAUGCACGAAAGCGUGGGGAUCAAACAGGAUUAGAUACCCCAGUAGUC